GAUGAACGCUAGCUACAGGCUUAACACAUGCAAGUCGAGGGGCAGCGGGAAGGGAGCUUGCUCCCUUUGCCGGCGACCGGCGCACGGGUGAGUAACGCGUAUCCAACCUGCCCGGCACCCGGGGACAGCCCUCUGAAAGGAGGAUUAAUACCCGAUGGCCUCAUGAGUCCGCAUGGUCUUAUGAGGAAAGUUUGAUUGCGGUGCCGGUUGGGGAUGCGUCCCAUUAGGUAGUUGGAGGGGUAACGGCCCACCAAGCCAUCGAUGGGUAGGGGUUCUGAGAGGAAGGUCCCCCACAUUGGAACUGAGACACGGUCCAAACUCCUACGGGAGGCAGCAGUGAGGAAUAUUGGUCAAUGGGCGGAAGCCUUGAACCAGCCAAGUAGCGUGCGGGAUGAAGGCCCUAUGGGUUGUAAACCGCUUUUGUUGGGGAAUAACGGCGGCCACGUGUGCCGAGCGGAAUGUACCCUUCGAAUAAGCAUCGGCUAAUUCCGUGCCAGCAGCCGCGGUAAUACGGAAGAUGCAGGCGUUAUCCGGAUUUAUUGGGUUUAAAGGGAGCGUAGGCGGGCGUUUAAGUCAGUGGUGAAAUCAUGCGGCUCAACCGUGUGUUGCCGUUGAUACUGGAUGCCUUGAGUACGGACAGGGCGCGUGGAAUUCGUGGUGUAGCGGUGAAAUGCUUAGAUAUCACGAAGAACUCCGAUCGCGAAGGCAGCGCGCCGGGCCGGGACUGACGCUGAGGCUCGAAAGUGCGGGUAUCAAACAGGAUUAGAUACCCUGGUAGUCCGCACGGUAAACGAUGAAUGCUCGCUGUGGGCGAUACAAUGUCCGUGGCCAAGCGAAAGCGUUAAGCAUUCCACCUGGGGAGUACGCCGGCAACGGUGAAACUCAAAGGAAUUGACGGGGGCCCGCACAAGCGGAGGAACAUGUGGUUUAAUUCGAUGAUACGCGAGGAACCUUACCCGGGCUUGAACUGCAGGUGCAUGGUGCAGAGAUGCGCCUUUCCUUCGGGACUCCUGCGGAGGUGCUGCAUGGUUGUCGUCAGCUCGUGCCGUGAGGUGUCGGCUUAAGUGCCAUAACGAGCGCAACCCCUCUCCACAGUUGCCAUCGGGUAAUGCCGGGCACUCUGUGGACACUGCCGCCGCAAGGCGUGAGGAAGGUGGGGAUGACGUCAAAUCAGCACGGCCCUUACGUCCGGGGCCACACACGUGUUACAAUGGCGGGUACAGAGGGCCGCGACCGGGCGACCGGCAGCCAAUCCCGAAAUCCCGUCCCAGUUCGGACUGGAGUCUGCAACCCGACUCCACGAAGCUGGAUUCGCUAGUAAUCGCGGCAUCAGCCAUGGCGCGGUGAAUACGUUCCCGGGCCUUGUACACACCGCCCGUCAAGCCAUGAAAGCCGGGGGCGCCUGAAGUCCGUGACC
This 1417-nucleotide ribosomal RNA is filed under the name uncultured bacterium. Its description in RNAcentral is "16S ribosomal RNA". It matches the Rfam family "Bacterial small subunit ribosomal RNA". The record is from RNAcentral.